AUCCAGGUGACGAGUCCCAAAUAGGAUGAAUUGCGAGUCCUGGAU
RNAcentral lists this non-coding RNA (45 nucleotides) under Schistosoma curassoni. Lineage: Eukaryota; Metazoa; Platyhelminthes; Trematoda; Strigeidida; Schistosomatidae. The record is from RNAcentral.